This 254-nucleotide ribosomal RNA is filed under the name uncultured bacterium. RNAcentral's name for it is "partial 16S ribosomal RNA". It matches the Rfam family "Bacterial small subunit ribosomal RNA", at positions 524 to 776 of the family's 1533-position model. The record is from RNAcentral.
GACGUAGGGCGCGAGCGUUUGUCCGGAUUUAUUGGGCGUAAAGAGCUCGUAGGCGGCUCGUUGCGUCGGCUGUGAAAACCCGCAGCUCAACUGUGGGCUUGCAGCUGAUACGGGCGGGCUGGGAUUCGGUAGGGGAGACUGGAAUUCCUGGUGUAGCGGUGAAAUGCGCAGAUAUCAGGAGGAACACCGGUGGUGUAGACGGCUCUCUGGACCGUAACUGACGCUGAGGCACGAAAGCGUGGGUAGCAAACAGG